This 423-nucleotide ribosomal RNA is filed under the name Streptococcus infantis. Its description in RNAcentral is "bacterial SSU rRNA". It matches the Rfam family "Bacterial small subunit ribosomal RNA", at positions 28 to 442 of the family's 1533-position model. Lineage: Bacteria; Bacillati; Bacillota; Bacilli; Lactobacillales; Streptococcaceae. The record is from RNAcentral.
GACGAACGCUGGCGGCGUGCCUAAUACAUGCAAGUAGAACGCUGAAGGAGGAGCUUGCUUCUCUGGAUGAGUUGCGAACGGGUGAGUAACGCGUAGGUAACCUGCCUGGUAGCGGGGGAUAACUAUUGGAAACGAUAGCUAAUACCGCAUAACAGUAGAUAUCGCAUGAUAGCUGCUUGAAAAGGUGCAAUUGCACCACUACCAGAUGGACCUGCGUUGUAUUAGCUAGUUGGUGGGGUAACGGCUCACCAAGGCAACGAUACAUAGCCGACCUGAGAGGGUGAUCGGCCACACUGGGACUGAGACACGGCCCAGACUUCUACGGGAGGCAGCAGUAGGGAAUCUUCGGCAAUGGACGGAAGUCUGACCGAGCAACGCCGCGUGAGUGAAGAAGGUUUUCGGAUCGUAAAGCUCUGCUGAUAG